AAACAACUCUCAGCAACGGAUAUCUUGGCUCUUGCAACGAUGAAGAACGCAGCGAAAUGCGAUACGUAGUGUGAAUUGCAGAAUUCGGCGAAUCAUCGAGUCUUUGAACGCAAGUUGCGCCCGAGGCUUGACCAAGGGCAUUUCUGCCAGAGCGUCACC
This 159-nucleotide ribosomal RNA is filed under the name Syntrichia ruralis. RNAcentral describes it as "5.8S ribosomal RNA". It matches the Rfam family "5.8S ribosomal RNA". From Rfam's summary of the family: 5.8S ribosomal RNA (5.8S rRNA) is a component of the large subunit of the eukaryotic ribosome. It is transcribed by RNA polymerase I as part of the 45S precursor that also contains 18S and 28S rRNA. Functionally, it is thought that 5.8S rRNA may be involved in ribosome translocation. Lineage: Eukaryota; Viridiplantae; Streptophyta; Bryopsida; Pottiales; Pottiaceae. The record is from RNAcentral.